This 495-nucleotide ribosomal RNA is filed under the name Triticum aestivum (bread wheat). RNAcentral's name for it is "partial small subunit ribosomal RNA". The record is from RNAcentral. Lineage: Eukaryota; Viridiplantae; Streptophyta; Magnoliopsida; Poales; Poaceae.
AUGAAGCAGUUCGUGCUGACCAAGAUGAGGGGCGCCAAGGUGGGCCCCGAGGUGCUGGAGGCCGUGGAGAGGAGCGAGAUGAGCGACGUGCUCGCCGCGCCGCUGCGGUUCCGCUCCCCGCUCUCGCUCCUGUUCGCCAGCAUCAGCAAGGGGAACGUGUGCGUCGCCGGCGACGCGCUCCACCCGACGACGCCGGACCUGGCGCAGGGCGCGUGCACGGCGCUCGAGGACGGCGUCGUCCUCGCCCGCUGCCUCGGCGACGCCAUCGUCGGCGCUGGCGACGGGGAGGAGAGGGAGAUGGUCGUGGCGGCCCUGCGCAGGUACGCCGGCAUGCGGCGGUGGAGGAGCGCGCAGGUGAUCGUGGCGUCCUAUGCGGUGGGGUUCGUGCAGGAGAGCGACCACGCCGUGGUGAGCUUUGUGCGGGACAAGCUGCUGUCCGGGGUGCUCGCCAAGACGCUGCUCAUGAUGCCGGACUGCGAUUGCGGGAAGCUCUGA